GACGAACGCUAGCGGCAGGCUUAAUACAUGCAAGUCGUGGGGUAGCAGGACUAUAGCAAUACAGUUGCUGGCGACCGGCAAACGGGUGCGGAACACGUACGCUACUUACUCUGUACUGGGGGAUAGCCGGGGGAAACCCUGAUACAUACUCCGUAAUAUAAUGGAGUGGCAUCAUUUUGUUAUUAAAGCUCCGGGGGUUCGGGAUGGGCGUGCGGCUGAUUAGGUAGUUGGUUGAGGUAACGGCUCACCAAGCCUACGAUCAGUAACUGGUGUGAGAGCACGACCAGUCACACGGGCACUGAGACACGGGCCCGACUCCUACGGGAGGCAGCAGUAAGGAAUAUUGGGCAAUGGAGGCAACUCUGACCCAGCCAUGCCGCGUGGAGGAUGAAGGCCCUCUGGGUUGUAAACUUCUUUUAUAGGGGACGAAACCUGUGUAUUCUUACGCAGUUGACGGUACCCUAGGAAUAAGCACCGGCUAACUCCGUG
Molecule: ribosomal RNA, 489 nt
Filed under: uncultured bacterium
Lineage: Bacteria
Description: partial 16S ribosomal RNA
Rfam family: Bacterial small subunit ribosomal RNA
Source: RNAcentral